Molecule: ribosomal RNA, 497 nt
Filed under: uncultured bacterium
Lineage: Bacteria
Description: partial 16S ribosomal RNA
Rfam family: Bacterial small subunit ribosomal RNA
Source: RNAcentral
GACGAACGCUGGCGGCGUGCCUAAUACAUGCAAGUAGAACGCUGAAGGAAGGAGCUUGCUCUUUCUGGAUGAGUUGCGAACGGGUGAGUAACGCGUAGGUAACCUGCCUGGUAGCGGGGGAUAACUAUUGGAAACGAUAGCUAAUACCGCAUAAAAUUGAUUAUUGCAUGAUAGUCAAUUAAAAGGUGCAACUGCACCACUACCAGAUGGACCUGCGUUGUAUUAGCUAGUUGGUGGGGUAACGGCUCACCAAGGCGACGAUACAUAGCCGACCUGAGAGGGUGAUCGGCCACACUGGGACUGAGACACGGCCCAGACUCCUACGGGAGGCAGCAGUAGGGAAUCUUCGGCAAUGGACGGAGGGCUGACCGAGCAACGCCGCGUGAGGGAAGAAGGGUUUCGGAUCGUAAAGCUCUGUUGUAAGAGAAGAACGAGUGUGAGAGUGGAAAGUUCACACUGUGACGGUAGCUUAACAGAAAGGGACGGCUAACUACGUG